Molecule: unclassified non-coding RNA, 211 nt
Filed under: Hevea brasiliensis (rubber tree)
Lineage: Eukaryota; Viridiplantae; Streptophyta; Magnoliopsida; Malpighiales; Euphorbiaceae
Source: RNAcentral
CUGAAUCGCCUCGAUCGGACGUCGUAUGAAGCCGAAAUCUCAUCGGGAAGUUACUGCCCACUGUGCGCACGUUGAAGAAGAAAACUCCUCCACUUUUGCAGUUCCCGGAGCUACUUUGGCCAGCUGGCAGCUCGCCGGCGUCGCCUAAGAUGGGGGACGCCUCGCCGGUUGGCCAUGGUGGCUGGAGGCUCGUCGGAAGGAAGAAAAGGGG